GUGAGGAAUUUUCCGCAAUGGGCGAAAGCCUGACGGAGCAAUGUCGCGUGAAGGAUGAAGGCCUAUGGGUUGUAAACUUCUUUUCUCAGAAAAGAAUUAUGACGGUAUCUGAGGAAUAAGCAUCGGCUAACUCUGUGCCAGCAGCCGCGGUAAGACAGAGGAUGCAAGCGUUAUCCGGAAUGAUUGGGCGUAAAGCGUCUGUAGGUUGUUUAAAAAGUAUUCUGUCAAAGAUUAGGGCUUAACCCUAGAUAGGCAGAAUAAACUUUUAAGCUAGAGUUUGGUAGAGGCAGAGGGAAUUCCCGGUGGAGCGGUGAAAUGCGUAGAUAUCGGGAGGAACACCAAAGGCGAAGGCACUCUGCUGGGCCAAUACUAACACUGAGAGACGAAAGCGAGGGGAGCAAAUGGGAUUAGAUACCCUAGUAGUCC
This 426-nucleotide ribosomal RNA is filed under the name uncultured bacterium. Its description in RNAcentral is "partial 16S ribosomal RNA". It matches the Rfam family "Bacterial small subunit ribosomal RNA", at positions 354 to 796 of the family's 1533-position model. The record is from RNAcentral.